UUUUAUGGAGAGUUUGAUCCUGGCUCAGGAUGAACGCUGGCGGCGUGCCUAAUACAUGCAAGUCGAGCGAACGGAUGAGAAGCUUGCUUCUCUGAUGUUAGCGGCGGACGGGUGAGUAACACGUGGAUAACCUACCUAUAAGACUGGGAUAACUUCGGGAAACCGGAGCUAAUACCGGAUAAUAUUUUGAACCGCAUGGUUCAAAAGUGAAAGACGGUCUUGCUGUACUUAUAGAUGGAUCCGCGCUG
This 248-nucleotide ribosomal RNA is filed under the name Staphylococcus aureus MUM475. Its description in RNAcentral is "partial 16S ribosomal RNA". It matches the Rfam family "Bacterial small subunit ribosomal RNA", at positions 1 to 238 of the family's 1533-position model. The record is from RNAcentral. Lineage: Bacteria; Bacillati; Bacillota; Bacilli; Caryophanales; Staphylococcaceae.